CAUUGAUCUAUGUACCCCUAUUCUUGACUCCAGACUGAAGGCUUCCUUUGUCAGUGAUUGAUGGCCACCCUCUCACAGGAAGAAUGACUAACUCCAACCUGACAGUCCACCACCUCACCAGUCCUCCUGGCUGCAGUGCAAGGCCAGAAGACAGCUCAGCUGGGGGAACAAGCCAUAGUCAGGAGAAGUGUUAUUAAAAACCCCAACAAAAUGAAAUUAAAAUGGAACAUCUAUACUGGAGAACAGCAGAGGCUAUAAACUGUGG
Non-coding RNA from Cyanistes caeruleus (blue tit), 265 nucleotides. NCBI's taxonomy places the organism in Eukaryota, Metazoa, Chordata, Aves, Passeriformes, Paridae. The record is from RefSeq and is a predicted model, not a curated record.